Molecule: ribosomal RNA, 381 nt
Filed under: Triticum aestivum (bread wheat)
Lineage: Eukaryota; Viridiplantae; Streptophyta; Magnoliopsida; Poales; Poaceae
Description: partial small subunit ribosomal RNA
Source: RNAcentral
AUGUUUGCCAAAUCUGUUAUCAAUUUGGAGAGAGAAAAUAUUCACUCCGGAGCUAAUAGUAAAGAUUUGGCCAAACGAGGAUGGAACCACGACCCGAUCUGCUCGCUUUGCUGGCAUACUUCAGAAGAUGCUGUGCAUCUGCUGGCACCUGCCUCUUCACCACUGCGCUAUGGCGACGGGCCUUGCAGCUGUGACAUCUCCCGACGACGCUGGCUCCUGCCUAAUCUACAAGCUCACUUCUUCAGUCGUGGGAAGAUGGUGCCCGCACCAUCGCGUGCAUGGAGCUCACUGGUGCAGCUUGUGUGGUGGCACGUUUGGAAGGAACGCAACGAGCACAUCUUCACAAAUAAGGCAUCAACAACAACUGCCACAUUCUACUGA